GACGAACGCUGGCGGCGUGCUUAACACAUGCAAGUCGAACGGAAAGGCCCUGCUUUUGUGGGGUGCUCGAGUGGCGAACGGGUGAGUAACACGUGAGUAGCCUGCCCUUGACUUUGGGAUAACUUCAGGAAACUGGGGCUAAUACCGGAUAGGAGCUCCUGCUGCAUGGUGGGGGUUGGAAAGUUUCGGCGGUUGGGGAUGGACUCGCGGCUUAUCAGCUUGUUGGUGGGGUAGUGGCUUACCAAGGCUUUGACGGGUAGCCGGCCUGAGAGGGUGACCGGCCACAUUGGGACUGAGAUACGGCCCAGACUCCUACGGGAGGCAGCAGUGGGGAAUAUUGCACAAUGGGCGGAAGCCUGAUGCAGCAACGCCGCGUGCGGGAUGACGGCCUUCGGGUUGUAAACCGCUUUCGCCUGUGACGAAGCGUGAGUGACGGUAAUGGGUAAAGAAGUACCGGCUAACUACGUG
This 468-nucleotide ribosomal RNA is filed under the name uncultured bacterium. RNAcentral's name for it is "partial 16S ribosomal RNA". It matches the Rfam family "Bacterial small subunit ribosomal RNA", at positions 28 to 507 of the family's 1533-position model. The record is from RNAcentral.